RNAcentral lists this ribosomal RNA (447 nucleotides) under uncultured bacterium. Its description in RNAcentral is "partial 16S ribosomal RNA". It matches the Rfam family "Bacterial small subunit ribosomal RNA", at positions 29 to 507 of the family's 1533-position model. The record is from RNAcentral.
AACGAACGCUAUCGGUAUGCUUAACACAUGCAAGUCGGACGGACUAAUUAGGGCUUGCUCCAAUUAGUUAGUGGCAGACGGGUGAGUAACACGUGGGAAUCUGCCCAUCAGUACGGAAUAACUUUUAGAAAUAAAAGCUAAUACCGUAUAUUCUCUACAGAGGAAAGAUUUAUCGCUGAUGGAUGAGCCCGCGUCAGAUUAGGUAGUUGGUGAGGUAACGGCUCACCGAGCCGACGAUCUGUAGCUGGUCUGAGAGGAUGAUCAGCCACACUGGGACUGAGACACGGCCCAGACUCCUACGGGAGGCAGCAGUGGGGAAUAUUGGACAAUGGGCGAAAGCCUGAUCCAGCAAUACCGAGUGAGUGAUAAAGGCCCUAGGGUUGUAAAGCUCUUUUAGCAAGGAAGAUAAUGACGUUACUUGCAGAAAAAGCCCCGGCUAACUCCGUG